AUUCUGGGCGUAAGCGCGCGUAGGUGGCUAAGUCAGCCAGGUGUGAAAGCCCCGGGCUCAACCUGGGAACGGCAUCUGGAACUGCUUGGCUAGAGUGCAGGAGAGGAAGGUAGAAUUCCCGGUGUAGCGGUGAAAUGCGUAGAGAUCGGGAGGAAUACCAGUGGCGAAGGCGGCCUUCUGGACUGACACUGACACUGAGGUGCGAAAGCGUGGGUAGCAAACAGGAUUAGAUACCCUGGUAGUCCACGCCGUAAACGAUGUCAACUAGCCGUUGGGUCCCUUGAGGACUUAGUGGCGCAGCUAACGCAAUAAGUUGACCGCCUGGGGAGUACGGCCGCAAGGUUAAAACUCAAAUGAAUUGACGGGGGCCCGCACAAGCGGUGGAGCAUGUGGUUUAAUUCGAUGCAACGCGAAGAACCUUACCUACCCUUGACAUCCAGAGGACUUUCCAGAGAUGGAUUGGUGCCUUCGGGAACUCUGAGACAGGUGCUGCAUGGCUGUCGUCAGCUCGUGUUGUGAAAUGUUGGGUUAAGUCCCGUAACGAGCGCAACCCCUAUCCUUAUUUGCCAGCGAGUAAUGUCGGGAACUCUAAGGAGACUGCCGGUGACAAACCGGAGGAAGGUGGGGACGACGUCAAGUCAUCAUGGCCCUUACGGGUAGGGCUACACACGUGCUACAAUGGCAAGUACAAAGGGUUGCAAUACUGCGAAGUGGAGCCAAUCCCAUAAAGCUUGCCUCAGUCCGGAUUGGAGUCUGCAACUCGACUCCAUGAAGUCGGAAUCGCUAGUAAUCGUGGAUCAGAAUGCCACGGUGAAUACGUUCCCGGGCCUUGUACACACCGCCCGUCACACCAUGGGAGUGGACUGCACCAGAAGUGGUUAGCCUAACCUUCGG
RNAcentral lists this ribosomal RNA (894 nucleotides) under Cobetia sp. RNAcentral's name for it is "bacterial SSU rRNA". It matches the Rfam family "Bacterial small subunit ribosomal RNA", at positions 551 to 1445 of the family's 1533-position model. The record is from RNAcentral. Lineage: Bacteria; Pseudomonadati; Pseudomonadota; Gammaproteobacteria; Oceanospirillales; Halomonadaceae.